RNAcentral lists this ribosomal RNA (468 nucleotides) under uncultured bacterium. Its description in RNAcentral is "partial 16S ribosomal RNA". It matches the Rfam family "Bacterial small subunit ribosomal RNA", at positions 28 to 507 of the family's 1533-position model. The record is from RNAcentral.
GACGAACGCUGGCGGCGUGCUUAACACAUGCAAGUCGAACGGAAAGGCCCUGCUUUUGUGGGGUGCUCGAGUGGCGAACGGGUGAGUAACACGUGAGUAACCUGCCCUUGACUUUGGGAUAACUUCAGGAAACUGGGGCUAAUACCGGCUAGGAGCUCCUGCUGCAUGGUGGGGGUUGGAAAGUUUCGGCGGUUGGGGAUGGACUCGCGGCUUAUCAGCUUGUUGGUGGGGUGGUGGCUUACCAAGGCUUUGACGGGUAGCCGGCCUGAGAGGGUGACCGGCCACAUUGGGACUGAGAUACGGCCCAGACUCCUACGGGAGGCAGCAGUGGGGAAUAUUGCACAAUGGGCGGAAGCCUGAUGCAGCAACGCCGCGUGCGGGAUGACGGCCUUCGGGUUGUAAACCGCUUUCGCCUGUGACGAAGCGUGAGUGACGGUAAUGGGUAAAGAAGCACCGGCUAACUACGUG